This 343-nucleotide long non-coding RNA is filed under the name Homo sapiens (human). RNAcentral's name for it is "HSALNT0154442". The record is from RNAcentral. Lineage: Eukaryota; Metazoa; Chordata; Mammalia; Primates; Hominidae.
CUUACAAAUUUCCAUUAUUUCAGAGAAAAGAACUUCCAUGAAAAGGCGCACUCCAAUCCUGCCAUUUCUCAGAAAAAAACUAUCUUUGAAAUAAGAGACUAAAGAGCAGUCUCGAAUCAGAGUCCUCCCUUAUGUCAUAAAACUAGCACCUCAGCCCUGACAAAGACGGAAAUCAUUUUGUGCACAGAAUUUAUCCUCUGAGCCACUUUCUCCAGGAAGAGCUCCUGGAGUUAUGUAUCCUCCCUUCACAGUAAUUCCUCCUUUCCUCACAUCCCUCAUCAUUGCCUACUCUGUCACUAUCAGCCCACUCUGGGUAUGCUGAGUAGAAGAUGACCGAUUGCUU